CAAAAACAAACCACUGUAAACCCAACCCAGCAAACCCAACCCACAGCAAACUCAACCCAGCAAACUCACAGUCACCACCAUCCACCAUCACCCACCCACCUGCCACCACCAUAAACCCCAACCCAAAAUCAACCCACCACUAGCCACCACCACUAGAAAACAACCACCAAAUCACAAAACCCAGCCAUCACAAAUCACAAAUCACAAAACAACCACCAUCACAAAGACAAAAUCCAGCCAUCACAAAAUUUCACCCACCACCAAAUCCGAUCCACCACCAAACUGUGACCCACGACCCAGACCCACCAUGACCAAGUGACCCACAGUGACCGCCGAAGCACUGUGACUCGCCCCCAUGGGAAAUCGGUGAGAGGGAGAGAGAAAACGAGCAAGAGAGGGCCACAAACAACCCCACAAACGCUUCUCUCUUAGCUCCGCUAGGGUUAUAGAGAGAAAAAGUUUGUUCAGCCUCAGACCAAUUGCUUCACAAUCCUGAAAAUACCUUCUUCAGUGAAACUGGGUUCCAUUAACCAGAGACUAUAGCCAUUGAAGAUGCUGUCAGAGUUCUAUUGCAUGGUUUAGGGGAGGAUAUUAAUAGAGAGGGUCUCAAGAAGACUCCUUUUCGUGUUGCCAAGGCACUUCGUGAAGGAACCAAAGCUGCUGUGGGUGCUAGGGCUACCACUUCCAUCACAACAAAUCCAUUGUGUGCUAUUAAGACCAGA
Long non-coding RNA from Quercus lobata, 722 nucleotides. RefSeq lists it as uncharacterized. Lineage: Eukaryota; Viridiplantae; Streptophyta; Magnoliopsida; Fagales; Fagaceae. The transcript is spliced from 4 exons. The record is from RefSeq and is a predicted model, not a curated record.